GACGAACGCUGGCGGCGUGCCUAAUACAUGCAAGUAGAACGCUGAAGGAGGAGCUUGCUUCUCUGGAUGAGUUGCGAACGGGUGAGUAACGCGUAGGUAACCUGCCUGGUAGCGGGGGAUAACUAUUGGAAACGAUAGCUAAUACCGCAUAAGAGUAGAUGUCGCAUGACAUUUGCUUAAAAGGUGCAAUUGCAUCACUACCAGAUGGACCUGCGUUGUAUUAGCUAGUUGGUGAGGUAACGGCUCACCAAGGCAACGAUACAUAGCCGACCUGAGAGGGUGAUCGGCCACACUGGGACUGAGACACGGCCCAGACUCCUACGGGAGGCAGCAGUAGGGAAUCUUCGGCAAUGGACGGAAGUCUGACCGAGCAACGCCGCGUGAGGGAAGAAGGGUUUCGGAUCGUAAAGCUCUGUUGUAAGAGAAGAACGAGUGUGAGAGUGGAAAGUUCACACUGUGACGGUAUCUUACCAGAAAGGGACGGCUAACUACGUG
RNAcentral lists this ribosomal RNA (495 nucleotides) under uncultured bacterium. Its description in RNAcentral is "partial 16S ribosomal RNA". It matches the Rfam family "Bacterial small subunit ribosomal RNA", at positions 28 to 507 of the family's 1533-position model. The record is from RNAcentral.